This 417-nucleotide small RNA is filed under the name Pongo abelii (Sumatran orangutan). RNAcentral's name for it is "processed transcript". Lineage: Eukaryota; Metazoa; Chordata; Mammalia; Primates; Hominidae. The record is from RNAcentral.
AUUGCCGUGGCCGGCGGGCACUGGGGCCCCGUGUUUUCAGAGUCAUGGAGGCGCUAAUUCCUGUCAUUAACAAGCUCCAGGACGUCUUCAACACGGUGGGCGCCGACAUCAUCCAGCUGCCUCAAAUCGUCGUAGUGGGAACGCAGAGCAGCGGAAAGAGCUCAGUGCUAGAAAGCCUGGUGGGGAGGGACCUGCUUCCCAGAGGUACUGGAAUUGUCACCCGGAGACCUCUCAUUCUGCAACUGGUCCAUGUUUCACAAGAAGAUAAACGAAAAACAACAGGAGAAGAAAAUGGGGUGGAAGCAGAAGAAUGGGGUAAAUUUCUUCACACCAAAAAUAAGGUCGCAGAACCCUAGCUGUAAUCACUAAACUUGAUCUCAUGGAUGCGGGUACUGAUGCCAUGGAUGUAUUGAUGGG